AUUGAACGCUGGCGGCAGGCCUAACACAUGCAAGUCGAACGGUAACAGGAAGCAGCUUGCUGCUUCGCUGACGAGUGGCGGACGGGUGAGUAAUGUCUGGGAAGCUGCCUGAUGGAGGGGGAUAACUACUGGAAACGGUAGCUAAUACCGCAUAAUGUCGCAAGACCAAAGAGGGGGACCUUCGGGCCUCUUGCCAUCGGAUUUGCCCAGAUGGGAUUAGCUUGUUGGUGGGGUAACGGCUCACCAAGGCGACGAUCCCUAGCUGGUCUGAGAGGAUGACCAGCCACACUGGGACUGAGACACGGUCCAGACUCCUACGGGAGGCAGCAGUGGGGAAUAUUGCACAAUGGGCGCAAGCCUGAUGCAGCCAUGCCGCGUGUAUGAAGAAGGCCUUCGGGUUGUAAAGUACUUUCAGCGGGGAGGAAGGGAGUAAAGUUAAUACCUUUGCUCAUUGACGUUACCCGCAGAAGAAGCACCGGCUAACUCCGUG
Molecule: ribosomal RNA, 490 nt
Filed under: uncultured bacterium
Lineage: Bacteria
Description: partial 16S ribosomal RNA
Rfam family: Bacterial small subunit ribosomal RNA
Source: RNAcentral